Molecule: long non-coding RNA, 316 nt
Organism: Fundulus heteroclitus (mummichog)
Lineage: Eukaryota; Metazoa; Chordata; Actinopteri; Cyprinodontiformes; Fundulidae
Exons: 3
Source: RefSeq, a predicted model, not a curated record
UCCAACAACCACUCCUUCUCCCACAUCAAGCUCUCCAGCCUUGUCCCACUUUCUUCCCUAUGGGCUCCUGUCUCUAAUAUGUGCCAUUGUUGGCGUUUUAAUACUGGUUUUAGUCGUGAUACAUCAUGUUAACAGAAAAUCUAAAGGUAAUCAGGAAGACGGAGAGGAGAGUAUCACUUACAGCGAUGUUAAAAUAUUACAGCAUAGACAACGGAUAAACAAACCAAGCCAGGAAUAUCCACCAGAACCAGAAGUCGUCUACUCUUCACUGAGGUAGUCCUCCAGUCCCAGCAGAAACCUCCAGCUGUCAGCUCAU